GAUGAACGCUGGCGGCGUGCCUAAUACAUGCAAGUCGAGCGAACAGGCGAGGAGCUUGCUCCUCUGACGUUAGCGGCGGACGGGUGAGUAACACGUGGAUAACCUACCUAUAAGACUGGGAUAACUUCGGGAAACCGGAGCUAAUACCGGAUAAUAUAUUGAACCGCAUGGUUCAAUAGUGAAAGACGGUUUUGCUGUCACUUAUAGAUGGAUCCGCACCGCAUUAGCUAGUUGGUAAGGUAACGGCUUACCAAGGCGACGAUGCGUAGCCGACCUGAGAGGGUGAUCGGCCACACUGGAACUGAGACACGGUCCAGACUCCUACGGGAGGCAGCAGUAGGGAAUCUUCCGCAAUGGGCGAAAGCCUGACGGAGCAACGCCGCGUGAGGGAUGAAGGUCUUCGGAUCGUAAAACUCUGUUAUUAGGGAAGAACAAAUGUGUAAGUAACUAUGCACGUCUUGACGGUACCUAAUCAGAAAGCCACGGCUAACUACGUG
This 497-nucleotide ribosomal RNA is filed under the name uncultured bacterium. RNAcentral describes it as "partial 16S ribosomal RNA". It matches the Rfam family "Bacterial small subunit ribosomal RNA", at positions 28 to 507 of the family's 1533-position model. The record is from RNAcentral.